AUUGAACGCUGGCGGCAGGCCUAACACAUGCAAGUCGAGCGGAUGAAGGGAGCUUGCUCCUGGAUUCAGCGGCGGACGGGUGAGUAAUGCCUAUGAAUCUGCCUGGUAGUGGGGAUAACGUCCGGAAACGGGCGCUAAUACCGCAUACGUCCUGAGGGAGAAAGUGGGGGAUCUUCGGACCUCACGCUAUCAGAUGAGCCUAGGUCGGAUUAGCUAGUUGGUGGGGUAAAGGCCUACCAAGGCGACGAUCCGUAACUGGUCUGAGAGGAUGAUCAGUCACACUGGAACUGAGACACGGUCCAGACUCCUACGGGAGGCAGCAGUGGGGAAUAUUGGACAAUGGGCGAAAGCCUGAUCCAGCCAUGCCGCGUGUGUGAAGAAGGUCUUCGGAUUGUAAAGCACUUUAAGUUGGGAGGAAGGGCAGUAAGUUAAUACCUUGCUGUUUUGACGUUACCAACAGAAUAAGCACCGGCUAACUUCGUG
This 483-nucleotide ribosomal RNA is filed under the name uncultured bacterium. RNAcentral describes it as "partial 16S ribosomal RNA". It matches the Rfam family "Bacterial small subunit ribosomal RNA", at positions 30 to 507 of the family's 1533-position model. The record is from RNAcentral.